RNAcentral lists this ribosomal RNA (492 nucleotides) under uncultured bacterium. Its description in RNAcentral is "partial 16S ribosomal RNA". It matches the Rfam family "Bacterial small subunit ribosomal RNA", at positions 29 to 507 of the family's 1533-position model. The record is from RNAcentral.
AGUGAACGCUGGCGGUAGGCCUAACACAUGCAAGUCGAACGGCAGCACAGUAAGAGCUUGCUCUUACGGGUGGCGAGUGGCGGACGGGUGAGGAAUACAUCGGAAUCUACUUUUUCGUGGGGGAGAACGUAGGGAAACUUAUGCUAAUACCGCAUACGACCUACGGGUGAAAGCAGGGGAUCUUCGGACCUUUCGCGAUUGAAUGAGCCGAUGUCGGAUUAGCUAGUUGGCGGGGUAAAGGCCCACCAAGGCGACGAUCCGUAGCUGGUCUGAGAGGAUGAUCAGCCACACUGGAACUGAGACACGGUCCAGACUCCUACGGGAGGCAGCAGUGGGGAAUAUUGGACAAUGGGCGCAAGCCUGAUCCAGCCAUACCGCGUGGGUGAAGAAGGCCUUCGGGUUGUAAAGCCCUUUUGUUGGGAAAGAAAAGCAGCAGGUUAAUACCCCGCUGUUCUGACGGUACCCAAAGAAUAAGCACCGGCUAACUUCGUG